This 48-nucleotide ribosomal RNA is filed under the name Anopheles sacharovi. Its description in RNAcentral is "partial 5.8S ribosomal RNA". The record is from RNAcentral. Lineage: Eukaryota; Metazoa; Arthropoda; Insecta; Diptera; Culicidae.
AUCACUCGGCUCGUGGAUCGAUGAAGCCCGCAGUUAAAUGCGCGUCAC